CCCUUCUUAGCUCAGCUGGAAGAGCGCAAGACUGUAAUGGUAACAACGUCUCAUCUUGAGGCCCGCGGUUCGAUCCCGCGAGAGGGGA
This 88-nucleotide transfer RNA is filed under the name Leucosporidium creatinivorum. RNAcentral describes it as "Leucosporidiella creatinivora tRNA". It matches the Rfam family "tRNA". Rfam says of the family: Transfer RNA (tRNA) molecules are approximately 80 nucleotides in length. Their secondary structure includes four short double-helical elements and three loops (D, anti-codon, and T loops). Further hydrogen bonds mediate the characteristic L-shaped molecular structure. tRNAs have two regions of fundamental functional importance: the anti-codon, which is responsible for specific mRNA codon recognition, and the 3' end, to which the tRNAs corresponding amino acid is attached (by aminoacyl-tRNA synthetases). tRNAs cope with the degeneracy of the genetic code in two manners: having more than one tRNA (with a specific anti-codon) for a particular amino acid; and 'wobble' base-pairing, i.e. permitting non-standard base-pairing at the 3rd anti-codon position. Lineage: Eukaryota; Fungi; Basidiomycota; Microbotryomycetes; Leucosporidiales; Leucosporidiaceae. The record is from Rfam by way of RNAcentral.